GACGAACGCUGGCGGCGUGCUUAACACAUGCAAGUCGAACGGAAAGGCCCUGCUUUUGUGGGGUGCUCGAGUGGCGAACGGGUGAGUAACACGUGAGUAACCUGCCCUUGACUUUGGGAUAACUUCAGGAAACUGGGGCUAAUACCGGAUAGGAGCUCCUGCUGCAUGGUGGGGGUUGGAGAGUUUCGGCGGUUGGGGCUGGACUCGCGGCUUAUCCGCUUGUUGGGUGGGUAGUGGCUUACCAAGGCUUUGACGGGUAGCCCGCCUGGGAGGGUGAACGGGCACCAUGGGACUGAGAUACGGCGCAGACGCCUACGGGAGGCAGCGGUGGGGAAUCUUGCACAAUGGGCCGACGCCUGAUGCAGCAACGUCGCGUGCGGGAUGACGUCCUUCUGGUUGUAAACCGCUUUCGCCUGUGACGAAGCGUGCGUGACGGUACUGGGUAAAGAAGCACCGGCUAACUACGUG
Molecule: ribosomal RNA, 468 nt
Filed under: uncultured bacterium
Lineage: Bacteria
Description: partial 16S ribosomal RNA
Rfam family: Bacterial small subunit ribosomal RNA
Source: RNAcentral